AUGGAAACCCAGCAUGUUCAGAAGCGGUUAUCAGCAGAGAGGUUUCUAGUUCGCAUCAGUUUCAAACAUUUCCCAACGUUGCUGGAUUCUCCGCUGGAAUCAUUCUGCCAGUAUUUUUACUGGCGCUGCUCGCAUUUGCCGGUCAUAGGUACCGAAACAGACUAAAGAGCAGAGUAGACCAUCUCUAUGCCAUACAGAAAUUAAUCCCCAAGCAUGUCGUCAUGUACUAUGAUCGGCCGCGGUAGUCAGUACAUUUAGAGAAUAUCUGCCUGGGUGUGGGACAGUACGGGCAGGUGUACAGAGGAACCUUAUCAGAUGGUGUUGUCUCGAGGUCAUUCUACAAAGCAAGUAGGCGACGUGUGGUGGCAGUCAAAAUCAUGCACAGAACACUGCGUUGUAGCAAUCGAAGAACCGAAGACUUUUUGAGAGAAAUGAGUGUUCUCAUGAAAG
Molecule: long non-coding RNA, 450 nt
Organism: Paramacrobiotus metropolitanus
Lineage: Eukaryota; Metazoa; Tardigrada; Eutardigrada; Parachela; Macrobiotidae
Exons: 4
Source: RefSeq, a predicted model, not a curated record